Non-coding RNA from Podarcis lilfordi (Lilford's wall lizard), 4008 nucleotides. The record is from the annotation of a GenBank genome assembly. Lineage: Eukaryota; Metazoa; Chordata; Lepidosauria; Squamata; Lacertidae.
ACUGUCCAUUCCAUCUAGUCCAUCAACCUGGAAGUCUUAUGUCCGAGGCCCUUAAGUCUCUUCCAUGUCCCUUCUGCAGAUCUUCUUCUUCUUGUUUAUACUUGCACUUUUCCUUGUCUUUUGUUGGUCUCUUUCUUAAUUUCUUUCCUUUCUCAUUGAGGAGUAGGUCUCUGGGGGGUUCCAACCCAAAGUUAUCUCCGUCUCCCUUCAUCAAACCAGCCCAUUCCCCACAGUCCCACUCCCCACAGUCAUCAAUAUAAUCCAAAAAUAUUUACGAGCAUAUUUCGAAGUCUCUCCAAAGUUAAAAGCCUCCUCAGCUCCAGACUCCCCCUGGCCCACUCCAACUUCAAUCUUCAAAAACAGUGGCUUAUGCUCCUGUAGGGCCUUGGGCCUCUCCAUUUGUAUUAUUUGAGGUGCAACCGCAGCCUCCUCCAUUAUCUUCUGCACUUGCCCAAUCAAUACAGGUUCCUGAGUUGGACCCUGGAUGGUUUCUGUAUCACUAUUCACUAUUUGUCCACAGUUAUUGGCCACAACAGUCAUCAAAUCCAUUUUCUCAUUCAUCAAAUCCAUCUUCUCAUGCAUCUGUUCCAACAAAGCACUUGUCUUGCAUAAAGCAAGCACCAAAACUUCCUUCCAGCUCAUAUUUAGUCAAGGUCAAAAGGACUAAUCCCACGAUCUUAAUCUCACAGCUGUGGAAUCCUCAAGUAGACUGCAGCAACAAUUUAGCAGGCUCCCUCUAGAGGAGACAAUUUCUAUUUGUAUCCAUCUUUUUAAGGCAAGUCCAACAAAGGAAAAUUACUUUCAUUUUUCAGAUAUUUUGUUUCUUUAGAAUGCAAAAGGCAACAUUGGAAUCAGUUUAUUUCUCUUCUUCAGCUAUCUGUCAAAGUAUUCCAUUCACAGUCAAUGAACCUCUCCAACAAUUUCUGUCUCUGACACCCCGUUCCCAGGUUAGAGACGGUGGAAACUUAUCUUUCUUCACUCCCUCUCCUGCAGGCAUUACACAAAGUCCCCCCCCCCUUUUCUCCGGCUUCCAAGGGGGGUUCAGUAGUUAUAAAUGAAGGAAAGUUAGACUUUUUUUAAGACUGUCCAGGCUUUAGCUUACAAGGUUUUUGCUUCAGUCUAUAUACAAAAAGCGGAAGGCGGACUUCCUGUUUUGAACCUUCCCGCUUCGAUGUCAAAUUAAGAUAUUUCUUGAUCCAAUUUUCCGUUUCUACUCACGGGUACUUGUUUUAAAUCCAAUUGUCCACAGGAAAAAGUCAGCGCUCUCCGGCGAUGGCUGUGCGGCUUCACUCCGUGAAAGUAGCAGUCAGUUCGCAGCACCACGCUGCUCACCCCACUUCACUCCGGAAUCCCCAAAAGGGGUUCCCCAUGAGUAGGGGGGCGCUCCUGGUGCCCUGCCGAACCCCACGUUCCCAGGCUUCCUCCGCCUGGGAUUUCUAGCGGGUCCCCACCUUCGCCACGGCGGGAAGACCCAGUUUCCACGGAGCCAGUUCCUCCGGUCGGAGGAACUCCGCCAUUCGCCGAUGGCGCUAACCCGGAAGUGCGUCCUCUGGCCUAGUUACUAACAGUGAUAGCUACUUAAUGUUUUCCCCACAAUAGAAAUAGAGAACAACCACCACGGUCACCAAGUUAAUCCACGAUGGUUAGAUUACUGGGGAGAUCAGGGAUCAGAUGUACAAAUGUCUUUUUCUUUCUUUAUUUACUCCUCCCACCUCCAAAGCUAUUAACCAUACAGUGGGGAACAAUAUGGAUGGUUGCCUUUUCCCCCAUCAGUGAGUUGAAUAGCAUAUAACAUAUUGGGAGAUCAAAUGGUAGAUCGACAAUGGAACGGUCUCCCUCGGGACUCUCUUUCCUUGGACAUUUUUAAGCAGAGGUUGGAUGGCCAUCUGUCAUGAUUCCUUAGUUAAGAUUCUUGCAUUGAAGGGGGUUGGACUAGAGGACCCUUAGGGUCCCUUCCAACUCUACAAUUAUCCUAUGAUUCAAUGAUCUUCCAUGCAACGUGUAGCUUGUGCCUGAGUGGGAAUUUGAACGUAGUUUCUUUAUGUAUUGGUUUAGAAAUGAUGGUGUCCUCAAAAACCAACAGUAAUUGUGCUGGUACAUAUGUACAUAUGAAAGGAUGGCUGGCACAGCCAGGUUGUUCCCAUCCGGAAAAUCCUUGAAAGUCUCAUACAGGAUGGCUUUUAUCAGAAGUCUUUCCGCUCUUGUUUAACAAGUGCCAUGGUUACAAGCCUCGGUAAACUGAUGAUAUUCACACGCAGGAAACAACGCAAAGAAAACAGGAAUUGCAUGGCUCCGGCUAUGCUGCCCCAAGAAUUCCAGGAAGUGAUUAUACUUUAUGAAAUCGUCUGCGCUCCGCUAGUUUGUCUAUAGCUUUUUAAGGUCAAGCCGUAUCAUGCUGCGUUUGAAAUGCCCUUUGUGUAAUGAAGAAUGUUUAUGAACCCAAGUACAUGCUGUAUUGUUUUCCACACUCUUCGGUUUGGAAGGUGCUGUGUUGGAGCCUCUUUUACGGGAUGGCAUGAGGAAUCUAUCACGGACCUUUCUGGCAUCAAAGGAGGGCUGUCCAUCAUGCCCCUUGAAAUGUUGUCACUGCAUGGAGAAAGUCACGAAGUCCAUGCCGCUCAGGGCAAGACACUGAUAGGAAGGCAGAGGCGCUAGGACGUGCCCUGUUUGCAUUAUGAAUUUCCUGCUUGCAUUCCAGCUGAAUAUUCGUAGCACAGGGAGCUUCUGCCCCAGUAAGCACCCUUUGCAACUUGGGAGGAAAAGGAACAGGAGAGACUUUUUUAUUAUUUUGCACUCUUGUAAGACGGCGGCAGCAUGUGCUUACUAGGAAAGAGAAAGCCGGGAGGUAGUCUUGCAGCCAGGGUUUUCCCUUUGCGGACGCUCUGAUCUUUGAAGAACAGGAAAAGGCAGAGCUGGUGCCUGCCAAUAUACUCUAUGAAAUUGAAAGGUAACAAUGGGUUUCCAAACCCUUUGGACUCCCACCGCAAUGCGCACACAACUGCUUCUAAGGUCUGGCAUAGUUUUUAUAGUACGCGGGCCAAUGAUUGUAUUCUUCUCUGUAUGUGCUUACAUAGGUACAUAGGAAGCUGCCUUAUACAGAGUCAGAGCAUUGUCUACACUAACUGGCAGUGUCUCUCCAGGGUUUCAGACAAGGGGUCAUUCCCAGUCCUGCCUGGAGAUGCCAGGGAUUGAAGCUUUUGCAUGCAAGGAUCAUGCUCGGCCACUGAGCUAUGACCCUUCCUCAAGCUUACAUUUAGUCGCAGUUUUGAGCAACUCAUCAUUAUGGGUAUGUUCCUUGCUCACUUUCCCAGCAGCCAUGCCUGAAGGUCUCCUUUGGAGGGAGUGCAACCCCAUCAAGAGUAGGCAACCUCCCAUCCAUCCAGUCUAGGGAACCAGCCACUUAUCUGGAUUAACCUUCAGUUUAUUGGCUCUCAUCCAUCCCAUUAUUGAGGUUCAGCACAUGCACUGCUACACCUGCGGAUGUAAAGGAGAAGUAGAGCUGUGUGUCAUCAGCAUCUUGCUGACGACACACUCCAAAACUAUGGAUAACCCCACUCAGUGGUUUCAUGUAGAUUUAAAAAAGCAUGGGGGGUAAAAUUGAACCCCCCAGAACCCCACAUUGAAGGCUCCGUGGGGCUGAAGAGCACUCCCCAAACCUCACCCUCUGGAAAUGACCAUCCAUGUAAGACUGGAACCACCACAAAGCAGUGCCACCCACUCCUAACGUGGACAGCUGCUCCAGAAGGAUAUCAUGGUUGAGGGUAUGAAAAGCCCCUGAGAGGUUGAGGAGAGUUAUCAAGUACACAGGGGUCCAUAAGAGCAGGGAUAAGAAGAAACUAGAGCUGAACAACAGGAUUCCACAUUUUGGCUAAAAACCAUCACAAUAAAAGCAGCAAAUAUACUUGUUUGCUUUCUGUGGGGAUACAGUAAGUAGGAAAGAAGAUACAACAGUAGUUAGAGCCUUCAUUAUUCAAAGUGAUGUUUCUCAAGGGGAGGAGGCAUUAUAUU